GGACCCGCACAAGCGGUGGAGCAUGUGGUUUAAUUCGAAGCAACGCGAAGAACCUUACCAAAUCUUGACAUCCUUUGACCGCUCUAGAGAUAGAGUUUUCCCCUUCGGGGGACAAAGUGACAGGUGGUGCAUGGUUGUCGUCAGCUCGUGUCGUGAGAUGUUGGGUUAAGUCCCGCAACGAGCGCAACCCUUAAGCUUAGUUGCCAUCAUUAAGUUGGGCACUCUAGCGAGACUGCCGGUGAUAAGCCGGAGGAAGGCGGGGAUGACGUCAAGUCCUCAUGGCCCUUAUGGGCUGGGCUACACACGUGCUACAAUGGCAGUGACAGAGGGACGCUACCAGGUGACUGGAUGCAAAUCUCAAAAAGCUGUCUCAGUUCGGAUUGUAGGCUGCAACUCGCCUGCAUG
RNAcentral lists this ribosomal RNA (405 nucleotides) under uncultured bacterium. RNAcentral's name for it is "bacterial SSU rRNA". It matches the Rfam family "Bacterial small subunit ribosomal RNA", at positions 917 to 1322 of the family's 1533-position model. The record is from RNAcentral.